Molecule: ribosomal RNA, 460 nt
Filed under: uncultured Treponema sp.
Lineage: Bacteria; Pseudomonadati; Spirochaetota; Spirochaetia; Treponematales; Treponemataceae
Description: bacterial SSU rRNA
Rfam family: Bacterial small subunit ribosomal RNA
Source: RNAcentral
ACGGAAGGCAGCAGCUAAGAAUAUUCCGCAAUGGACGAAAGUCUGACGGAGCAACGCCGCGUGGAUGAUGAAGGCCGGAAGGUUGUAAAAUCCUUUUAUAACUGAGGAAUAAGUACGGUGAGAGAAACGCCGUAUGGUGACUGUAGGUUAUGAAUAAGCAACGGCUAAUUACGUGCCAGCAGCCGCGGUAACACGUAAGUUGCGAGCGUUGUUCGGAAUUAUUGGGCGUAAAGGGCAUGUAGGCGGUUUUGCAAGCUUGGUGUGAAAUCCCGGAGCUUAACUCCGGAAUUGCGUUGAGGACUGCAUAACUAGAGUCACUGAGGGGCAAUCAGAAUUCCAGGUGUAGGGGUGAAAUCUGUAGAUAUCUGGAAGAAUACCAAUGGCGAAGGCAGGUUUCUAGCAUAUGACUGACGCUGAGGUGCGAAGGUGCGGGGAGCAAACAGGAUUAGAUACCCUGGUA